This 170-nucleotide ribosomal RNA is filed under the name uncultured Alphaproteobacteria bacterium. RNAcentral's name for it is "partial 16S ribosomal RNA". It matches the Rfam family "Bacterial small subunit ribosomal RNA", at positions 338 to 525 of the family's 1533-position model. The record is from RNAcentral. Lineage: Bacteria; Pseudomonadati; Pseudomonadota; Alphaproteobacteria.
CCUACCGGAGGCGCCGCCGGGGAAUAUUGCGCAAUGGGGGAAACCCUGACGCAGCCAUGCCGCGAGAGUGACGAAGGCCUUAGGGUUGUAAAGCUCUUUCGCUAGGGAAGAUAAUGACGGUACCUAGUAAAGAAGCCCCGGCUAACUCCGUGCCAGCAGCCGCGGUAAUA